Molecule: ribosomal RNA, 105 nt
Filed under: Spongiactinospora rosea
Lineage: Bacteria; Bacillati; Actinomycetota; Actinomycetes; Streptosporangiales; Streptosporangiaceae
Description: Sphaerisporangium sp. LHW63015 partial 16S ribosomal RNA
Rfam family: Bacterial small subunit ribosomal RNA
Source: RNAcentral
UUGUUUGGAGAGUUUGAUCCUGGCUCAGGACGAACGCUGGCGGCGUGCUUAACACAUGCAAGUCGAGCGGAAAGGCCCUUCGGGGUACUCGAGCGGCGAACGGGU